Molecule: transfer RNA, 75 nt
Filed under: Daphnia magna
Lineage: Eukaryota; Metazoa; Arthropoda; Branchiopoda; Diplostraca; Daphniidae
Rfam family: tRNA
About the family: Transfer RNA (tRNA) molecules are approximately 80 nucleotides in length. Their secondary structure includes four short double-helical elements and three loops (D, anti-codon, and T loops).
Source: Rfam by way of RNAcentral
GGGGGCAUAGCUGAGUGGUAGAGCAGCAUCCGAAUGCAGAUCGGAUUGUCCCCGAUUCAAUCCCGGUUGUCCCCU